This 498-nucleotide ribosomal RNA is filed under the name uncultured bacterium. RNAcentral's name for it is "partial 16S ribosomal RNA". It matches the Rfam family "Bacterial small subunit ribosomal RNA", at positions 30 to 523 of the family's 1533-position model. The record is from RNAcentral.
AUUGAACGCUGGCGGCAUGCCUUACACAUGCAAGUCGAACGGUAACAGGUCUUCGGAUGCUGACGAGUGGCGAACGGGUGAGUAAUACAUCGGAACGUGCCUAGUAGUGGGGGAUAACUACUCGAAAGAGUGGCUAAUACCGCAUGAGAUCUACGGAUGAAAGCAGGGGAUUGCAAGAACUUGUGCUACUCGAGCGGCCGAUGGCAGAAUAGGUAGUUGGUGGGAUAAAAGCUUACCAAGCCGGCGAUCUGUAGCUGGUCUGAGAGGACGAUCAGCCACACUGGGACUGAGACACGGCCCAGACUCCUACGGGAGGCAGCAGUGGGGAAUUUUGGACAAUGGGCGAAAGCCUUAUCCAGCAAUGCCGGGUGCAGGAUGAAGGCCUUCGGGUUGUAAACUGCUUUUGUACGGAACGAAAAGCCCCGGGUUAAUACCCUGGGGUCAUGACGGUACCGUAAGAAUAAGCACCGGCUAACUACGUGCCAGCAGCCGCAGUAA